AACUCUGGUGGCCUAGUGGUUAGAGCAUCCACCUCGGAUGUGGGGAGGUUGCGGGUUCAAACCCUGGUUGAGUCG
This is a non-coding RNA of Potamilus streckersoni, 75 nucleotides long. The record is from the annotation of a GenBank genome assembly. NCBI's taxonomy places the organism in Eukaryota, Metazoa, Mollusca, Bivalvia, Unionida, Unionidae.